This 53-nucleotide ribosomal RNA is filed under the name Megalospora tuberculosa. Its description in RNAcentral is "partial 28S ribosomal RNA". Lineage: Eukaryota; Fungi; Ascomycota; Lecanoromycetes; Teloschistales; Megalosporaceae. The record is from RNAcentral.
AACCUCGGAUCAGGCAGGGAUACCCGCUGAACUUAAGCAUAUCAAUAAGCGGA